This 253-nucleotide ribosomal RNA is filed under the name uncultured Oscillospira sp. RNAcentral describes it as "partial 16S ribosomal RNA". It matches the Rfam family "Bacterial small subunit ribosomal RNA", at positions 524 to 776 of the family's 1533-position model. The record is from RNAcentral. Lineage: Bacteria; Bacillati; Bacillota; Clostridia; Eubacteriales; Oscillospiraceae.
UACGUAGGUGGCAAGCGUUAUCCGGAUUUAUUGGGUGUAAAGGGCGUGUAGGCGGGAAAGCAAGUCAGAUGUGAAAACUCAGGGCUCAACCCUGAGCCUGCAUUUGAAACUGUUUUUCUUGAGUGCUGGAGAGGCAAUCGGAAUUCCGUGUGUAGCGGUGAAAUGCGUAGAUAUACGGAGGAACAUCGGUGGCGAAAGCGCUUUACUGGACCAUUAUUGACGCUGAGGAACGAAAGCCAGGGGAGCAAAUGGG